UGGGGGAUUUUGCACAAUGGGCGCAAGCCUGAUGCAGCGACGCCGCGUGAGGGAUGAAGGCCUUCGGGUUGUAAACCUCUUUUGCUUGGUUGAAAGGCCAUGCUUUGGGUGUGGUUGAUUUGAACUGGUAAAGAAGUACCGGCUAACUACGUGCCAGCAGCCGCGGUAAUACGUAGGGUACUAGCGUUGUCCGGAUUUAUUGUGCGUAAAGGGCUUGUAGGUGGUGUGUCGCGUCUGUCGUGAAAUCCGGUGGCGUAACCAUGGGCUUGCGGGGGGUACGGGCAGGCUGGAGUGCGGUAGGGGAGACUGGAAUUCCGGGUGUAGCGGUGGGAUGCGCAGAUAUCAGGAGGAACACCGGUGGCGAAGGCGGGUCUCUGGGCCGUUACUGACACUGAGGAGCGAAAGCGUGGGGAGCGAACAGG
RNAcentral lists this ribosomal RNA (422 nucleotides) under Fusobacteriota bacterium. RNAcentral describes it as "Fusobacteria bacterium partial 16S ribosomal RNA". It matches the Rfam family "Bacterial small subunit ribosomal RNA", at positions 355 to 776 of the family's 1533-position model. The record is from RNAcentral. Lineage: Bacteria; Fusobacteriati; Fusobacteriota.